AUGAUCGGUGACAAUGAAUGCUACGAAUGUUCGCUUCCACUAAUGUCGUAUAAGAAUUGUGAGGUGCCCAUAGCUUCCCGGAAAGAAGAAGAGUCAUUGUCAUUUCCUGACCGAUAUGAAUGCACAUAUUUACCCUCGCCUCGGGAAAUACCACCAGUAGAGUCUGCAGAAGGUGUCGUUCAGGAGAGAUGCUGGGCUCUAGAUAUGCGAGUGAGAUACCCGCCCUCGGUCAUGACCUGGGUUGAAGAAGGAAUCUAUGUUCUUGGAAGCAAAGAAAGAACUCCGGUAUUCCGACCUUAUCUUUUUGCUCAAAGAACGAAUCAAACCCCUUGUCGAAGCCCUUUAUGA
Molecule: ribosomal RNA, 348 nt
Filed under: Triticum aestivum (bread wheat)
Lineage: Eukaryota; Viridiplantae; Streptophyta; Magnoliopsida; Poales; Poaceae
Description: partial small subunit ribosomal RNA
Source: RNAcentral